AAUAACAUCAUCAUAAUCAUUGAAUAAUCUAAGCUGUAAAACAUAACACUUAUCACGCCUCUUGUAAUUCAAUCAUUGUACAACAUAUCCUUUUCUCAUUUACCAGCCUACUAGUAUCCGUGGGGGUCCAUAGGGGUCCCGCUACCCGUUAACCUUUAACAUUCAUAAUCAGUUUCCAGGGCCGUCCCCAUACCCCGUCCGGUAUGGGCGCCAAAACCAUGAACCUCAAUACCCCGUCCGGUAUGAAGGUGAAACGGGCCGUCCCCAUACCCCGUCCGGUAUGGGCGCCAAAACCAUAAACCUCAAUACCCCGUCCGGUAUGAGGGUGAAACGGGCCGUCCCC
RNAcentral lists this long non-coding RNA (343 nucleotides) under Carica papaya (papaya). Its description in RNAcentral is "long non-coding RNA (CPAP_LNC002924)". The record is from RNAcentral. Lineage: Eukaryota; Viridiplantae; Streptophyta; Magnoliopsida; Brassicales; Caricaceae.